RNAcentral lists this ribosomal RNA (764 nucleotides) under uncultured Russula. RNAcentral's name for it is "partial 28S ribosomal RNA". It matches the Rfam family "Eukaryotic large subunit ribosomal RNA", at positions 218 to 962 of the family's 3401-position model. Lineage: Eukaryota; Fungi; Basidiomycota; Agaricomycetes; Russulales; Russulaceae. The record is from RNAcentral.
AUCCCGUCUUUGGCACGGAUGUACCGGGGCUUUUGUGAUGCGCUCUCGAAGAGUCGAGUUGUUUGGGAAUGCAGCUCAAAAUGGGUGGUGAACUCCAUCUAAAGCUAAAUAUUGGCGAGAGACCGAUAGCGAACAAGUACCGUGAGGGAAAGAUGAAAAGCACUUUGGAAAGAGAGUGAAACAGUACGUGAAAUUGUUGAAAGGGAAACGCUUGAAGUCAGUCGCGUCGACCGAGACUCAGCCUCGCCUCGGCUUGGUGUACUUCUCGGCUGACGGGUCAGCAUCAAUUUUGCCCCUUGGAUAAUGGCGAGGGAAAUGUGACACCUUUGCGGUGUGUUAUAGUCUCUCGUCGCAUGCAAGGGUCGGGAUUGAGGAACUCAGCACGCGCCUUUGGGCGUCGGGGCUUUGCCCACGAUACGUGCUUAGGAUGCUGGCGUAAUGGCUUUAAACGACCCGUCUUGAAACACGGACCAAGGAGUCUAACAUGCCUGCGAGUGUUCGGGUGGAAAACCCGUGCGCGCAAUGAAAGUGAAAGUUGGGACCUCUGUCGUGGAGGGCACCGACGCCCGGACCAGACCUUCUGUGACGGUUCUGCGGUAGAGCAUGUAUGUUAGGACCCGAAAGAUGGUGAACUAUGCCUGAAUAGGGUGAAGCCAGAGGAAACUCUGGUGGAGGCUCGUAGCGAUUCUGACGUGCAAAUCGAUCGUCAAAUUUGGGUAUAGGGGCGAAAGACUAAUCGAACCAUCUAGUAGCUGGUUCCUGCC